RNAcentral lists this small RNA (125 nucleotides) under Marmota monax (woodchuck). The record is from RNAcentral. Lineage: Eukaryota; Metazoa; Chordata; Mammalia; Rodentia; Sciuridae.
GCUGGGUGCGGUGACGCCUGCCUGUAAUCCCCAUAGCUCUGGAGGCUGAGGCAGGAGGCUCACAAGUUCAAAGUUAGCCUCAGCAAAAGUGAGGUGCUAAGCAACUCAGUGAGAUCCUGUCUCUA